RNAcentral lists this small nucleolar RNA (129 nucleotides) under Caenorhabditis brenneri. Its description in RNAcentral is "snoRNA CBN33469". It matches the Rfam family "Caenorhabditis snoRNA ceN43". The record is from Rfam by way of RNAcentral. Lineage: Eukaryota; Metazoa; Nematoda; Chromadorea; Rhabditida; Rhabditidae.
UGCCCGGUCUUUGCCCCGGAUCAACUAAAAUAGUUAUGACGGUUUCCGACACGGGAAAAUGGAAUAUUGCACGACGACAGAAAUUUCAGACCUCGCUCCGAAUGACUCUUGUCGAUGUGCAAAACAUUU